UAGUACAUCUAUCCAGCAGCACAUAUAUCCAACAAAUAUAUAUAUCCAGCAGUACAUGACCAUGACCAACAAACAUAUAUCCAGUAAUACAUAUAUCCAGCCGUACAUGAGUGCAAAGUCCACAUAUGGCAUACGAUGCAACAAAAGAUCACAAACGAAAGGACCGUAAGUUUCAGGUCCACACAGUGCAUACAUAUCCAACGAAGGUUCACAACAACAUACAUACAUCUGCAUCCAGAGGUUCACAAAUUAAAGGAUCAUGAGUUCCAAGUUCACACCAAGCAUGAACCAUGCAAUGAGCUCCACCACAGCAUAUAUGCCCACCAUCAACGCCAUCCACAAUGCAAACCUAUAAGUCCAUUAUCACACGCAUGAGUUUCUAAAGUUAAGUUACAAAGAUGGAUAAGGCAAAAGAGUCAACAGGCAUCAGCAUAUGAGGCUCAAAUAGAAGCUAGGAAGUAUGUACAAUAUAAACAUCAACACUUGUGGACUCUACCAUCAACAAUGCACAAGUUUUAAGUUGAGAAGCACAAGCAACGAGAAGACGCAAGCAUCAACAAUGGACAAACAUGGACGACUACCUCAAGUGAUCAUUGUUGCGGGGAGGUCAAAGCGACAUGAACCGUAGUGGGUGUCAACUGGACUUGCUUGGCCAGGUGAAGAUCCACCUACCACACAGUUAUU
Molecule: long non-coding RNA, 684 nt
Filed under: Triticum aestivum (bread wheat)
Lineage: Eukaryota; Viridiplantae; Streptophyta; Magnoliopsida; Poales; Poaceae
Description: long non-coding RNA (TAES_LNC000378)
Source: RNAcentral